GGUGAGGGUAAACAUGCUAAGAGAGAUGUGAGACCAAAGAGCCGUAUGUCAAAAAUAGGAGAUACAAUUGCAACUACUUUAGUGACCCUUCAACACGAAAUCAAGAAGCCAGCGCCACCUCCACCUGCUAUGCCUAAUUCUGAUGGUAUAUUGUGGCAAAGACUUGAAAACAUGACACUAACUACCGAUCAAAAGUUGAUGGUAGGAACCUUUCUAGCACAUAAAGAUCAAAAGGGUAUGCGUGGUUUUCUAUCUGGUUCAGCUGAGGUGACAUUUCAAUCAUGGGUAUUCAAAUUUCUUAGUGAUGCGGGGCUGUGAAUUCCCCUAGGUGGUUGGCCGCUUUUGUUUAUGUGCCCAGACUCAUCCAAGAACUUAACUGAAGAUGGAUGGUGUCAAUGAAGGCUCAUUCUUUUGCACUUCUUCUAGGCUGAUAUAUGAUGGCUAUGAAGAUAGAUGGUGUUGCUCACAGCAAUUUGUUUAGCACUUAGAUGAUGCUUCACACUUUUGUUAAUGCAUACUUUGCUAUAAUGUAACUAAUGUGAACCAAUUAAGGUUGUUAUUGACAUGAUGUGGAGACAUUAUCAAUUUGAUAUGGGCAUAUGGAUAUGUUAUGUCCAUUGAUUGUGAUUAUAACUAUUGCGGUUCUGUUA
Long non-coding RNA from Panicum virgatum (switchgrass), 650 nucleotides. RefSeq lists it as uncharacterized. Lineage: Eukaryota; Viridiplantae; Streptophyta; Magnoliopsida; Poales; Poaceae. The transcript has 2 exons. The record is from RefSeq and is a predicted model, not a curated record.